GGGCGUGUAGCUCAGUUGGUAGAGCGUGUCAUUAGCAUGAUCAUCUCAUUUCUUGACAAGGUCUUUGGUUCGAUUCCUAACUCGUCCA
RNAcentral lists this transfer RNA (88 nucleotides) under Cutaneotrichosporon oleaginosum. Its description in RNAcentral is "Trichosporon oleaginosus tRNA". It matches the Rfam family "tRNA". Rfam says of the family: Transfer RNA (tRNA) molecules are approximately 80 nucleotides in length. Their secondary structure includes four short double-helical elements and three loops (D, anti-codon, and T loops). Lineage: Eukaryota; Fungi; Basidiomycota; Tremellomycetes; Trichosporonales; Trichosporonaceae. The record is from Rfam by way of RNAcentral.